This 72-nucleotide transfer RNA is filed under the name Ictidomys tridecemlineatus (thirteen-lined ground squirrel). Its description in RNAcentral is "Spermophilus tridecemlineatus (thirteen-lined ground squirrel) tRNA". It matches the Rfam family "tRNA". Rfam says of the family: Transfer RNA (tRNA) molecules are approximately 80 nucleotides in length. Their secondary structure includes four short double-helical elements and three loops (D, anti-codon, and T loops). RNAcentral also lists the same sequence under 1 other name. Lineage: Eukaryota; Metazoa; Chordata; Mammalia; Rodentia; Sciuridae. The record is from Rfam by way of RNAcentral.
GGAGCUGGAGCUCCAUGGUAGAGUGCUUGCAUAGCAAGCAUGAAGCCCUGGGUUCAGUCCCUAGUACCACCA